AGAAUCAACGCUGGCGGCGUGCCUAACACAUGCAAGUCGAGCGCGAAAGGGGGGGCAACCCCCAAGUAGAGCGGCGAACGGGUGAGUAACGCGUGGGUCAUCUACCUUCGAGUGGGGAACAACAGCGGGAAACUGCUGCUAAUACCGCAUGACAUCGUCGGGCUUCAGGCCUGACGAUCAAAGCCGGGGACCGCAAGGCCUGGCGCUUGAAGAGGAGCCCGCGUCCGAUUAGCUAGUUGGCGGGGUAACGGCCCACCAAGGCGACGAUCGGUA
Molecule: ribosomal RNA, 273 nt
Filed under: uncultured bacterium
Lineage: Bacteria
Description: partial small subunit ribosomal RNA
Rfam family: Bacterial small subunit ribosomal RNA
Source: RNAcentral